This 598-nucleotide long non-coding RNA is filed under the name Homo sapiens (human). RNAcentral's name for it is "non-protein coding lnc-ZNF781-2:3". The record is from RNAcentral. Lineage: Eukaryota; Metazoa; Chordata; Mammalia; Primates; Hominidae.
GCCCCCUGACCUAGUAGUCGCUGGCACAAGCUGCGCCCGGAGACGUGGGAGCGUUCUCUUGUUUUCCGAGUGCGCGGACUCAUCGGGUCACAGUUUAUGCUUUUAUGACGCGGGAACACAACAGAUUUGAGAAGCCUCGGAUUAAGGAAUAAUUUAUGAAGCUCCGUUGACUACCGUGGAGAGAUCAUAAUUUGGGGUUCAAGAUUCCAGUCUGUGUUUUUCCAGAGGUGCCCUGAGGAGCAGGGAAGCAUGGCUAUUGUGGAUGUAAAAGCCAUGUUCAAGGUGGCGGUUAGUUGGGGCCAGGGAAGCGUGGAGGGUGGGUUCCAAUCGAGUCAAGAAAAGCCUGGGGUGUCCUGAACUCUGCCUGCUUCCCCAGCCCUGCCAGUUUCCAGAGAAGGCGCUUGAGAAGGAGAAACGAAUCGCUGCUGCUCUUCUAAAAGCCGGUUCCCUGCUAGAGUGCAGUGGCGUGAUCUCGGCUCACUGCAACCUCCGCCUCCCGGGUUCAAGCAAUUCUCCUGCCUCAGCCUCCCAAGUAGCUGGGACCACAGGCACAUGCCACCAUGCUCAGCUCUGGUGUCUGUGGACCCUGCUUCUGAAG